AGUGAGCUGGGCUCGCACACAGGCUUCCUGGUGGCGGCAGCAGCAGCCUUAGCGUCUCACGCCGGUCUCUGGGGUCCGCGCUGCAAGCCGCGGCUCACGCCCAUCUCUGGAGCUUGUUUAAGCGGUGCUCUGAAUCCCCUCUCCUCGCGCACCAGGAAACAAAGAGGGAAGAAAAAGUCUCUUGCCUCUUCGGCACCUGCAGACUGUUUCCCGGUCUCCCUCCCAGCCAGCUGUGGUGCACUAACCCCUUCAGGCUGUGUUCACGCCGCCAGCCCCAGUCCUCUCCCUGCGAAACCCGAGCCUCAGCUCCCAGCCCCGCCCGCCCCGGCGGGGGAGCAGACAAGCCUCUCGGGCUGGCACAAGGAGAAGUUAGCUGUCUGCAACCCUGAAGAGGCUCUCCAGACCUGCCCAUGCUGGCCCCCCAAUUUUGGAUUUCCAGCCUCCAGGGCAGUGAGAAAUUUCUGCUGUUUAUAAGCUGCCCAGUCUACGGUAUUUCUGCUACAGCAGCCGAGACGUACUAAGAACCUCUGGGGGAAAACCAAAAUGGCCUGCACUGGCCCAAGAGGACACACAAAGGCACUCAGGUCCCCGCCUGCUUUGCAUCUCACCAUCGAGCAGACGGCCUGCUGGAAGUUGUUGCUGACCACCACAUACAGUAACAGGUUGCCAAAGGUGUUCAGGGCAGCCAGUGGUCUAGAAACGAUGUACGCCUCAUGGAUCUGAUUCUCAAUGGAGCAGCUGAUGGAAAGCAGGCGAGAUUCAAUCCGAAUGACCCUCAAGAUAUGGAAAGGCAGAAAGCAUAUAUAAAACACGAGGAGCAGCAAAAUGGUUAGUCUUCGAGCUUUCUGCUUAAGGCAGCUGUGCGUCUGCGGUCCUUGUGUUAGGGUGUAGAUAAUCAUCGUAUAGCAAAGCGUCACGAUCACCAAGGGGAGGCAGAAGGUGGUCGCGGUCAAAAUUAGAUUGUACCAUUUGAUGGUCGUGAGGUCAUCUGAACUGGUGAGGUCAAGGCAGGCGGAUCUGUUGGUCCUGGUGGUUGAUGUGAUCAGAAAGGUUAUGGGAAUGACGGCCACCAGUGAAAUGAUCCACACCACCCCACAGGCCACCACGGCCCAUCGAGUUUUAUGGAUGGAAAAGCAGCUCAUCGGGUGAAUAAUGACAAAGUAGCGGAAGAUGCUGAAACAGGUGAGAAACAGGAUGCUGCUAUACAGGUUAAAGUGGAAGCCGAAGCGGAUAAACUUGCACAUGAAAUCCCCAAAGAUCCAGUUUUCUCCGCUGGCGUAGUAGUGAAUCAGGAAAGGCAGGCUGGUGAGGUACAGCAGGUCCGUGCAGGCCAGGUUCAGCAUGAUGAUGGUGCUGCUUCUCCAGGGCCGCAUCUUGAAGAUGUACGUGGAAAUUGCUACUGCGUUCCCAGGAAAGCCCACCAGGAAGAUUAUGCUAUAAAUAACAGGGAGGUAGUGCGUCUUGAGUGGGAUCUUUUCAUCAGUGCAAUUUCCAAGAGCAGCUGCAUAAUUGGGGAAAUCAGAAGCAUUUGCAAAAUCAUCUAGUGGCUCAUUCAUGGUUGUCUCCUUUCAUUUUGCAAGAAAACAAGAGAGUGCAGUUUGGCGAGAGAGAGUAACUCACUGCUAAAGGAAAAGAGAAAACAUUAAUGGUAGGGUAAUGAAAACAAUGAUCCACUUUUCAAUGAAAAUUGCUCUAACAGCCUGAAUUUGCCACUUUUUCUCUUUAAUCUCCAAAGAGACCCUGCGGAAGAAAUUGAAUUUCAAAGAAAAUGACUGUAAGGCAAGUUACUAAAGACAUCUAACAAUAAUAUAAAAGUUAAAUACCAUGAGAAGUAAAAUGAAGGACUGGGGUGGAAAACCCCACAUUGUAGCUGUAGAAGACGACUUGGCCAGGCUGCUGUUGAGGUAUGCCCUAGAGUGUCACCAUUAGAGACUUAACCACAGCAAGAUCCGCCACUAAUCACGCGUGAGGCACUUCACCAAUGUGUUACCUCUAAACUUGACAAAACGCUGAGAACAUUUCUUAUUAUCUCUAUUUUACAGAAGAGACUAAAACUGCGACCUGUUCCUGGUAACACAUCUAGUGGCACAGCUGGGAUUUGAACCUGUGUUUGUCUGACUUAGAACCCAUUCUCUUUCCAAACUGCCUCGCUGUGCUGCCUCUCAAUCUGGAUGACCCUAAAUGAGGGAUGCCAUGGGAAGUGCAAAGGCAUGACGAGACUGAAUACCAGACAUUUCUAAAAUGUAGAUUUCAUGCAUUCCAACAUUAUAUGUCUGGUAGAUUUCAUUUUCAAAUUUCAGCUCUUCCAACCCAUUUUAACAGCUAACAUAACUUGCUCAUGUUGUGAGGGGUGUGUUUGCAGGGGGAGGUGGAACAACAGCUUCAUGCAGUGUUAAGAGCUAGGGUGCUAUUGCCAGAGGCCCUGACCUUGACUCUGCUUGGCCAAAGAGUAGUUGUGUGUCCCUAAGCAAGUUGCUUACGCUCUCCAGGGCUGAGAGGAGUGGGAUUUUAACCUUUCUUCUUCUUGCUUAUCAGUGUUUUCUAAAAUUUUGACUGUGAAUUUCUGCAUGAAGAUCAUUUAAAAGAAGAAUUACUUACAAUUAGGUUAUUAUUCGGAUGUAAA
Balaenoptera acutorostrata (minke whale) is the source of this 2623-nucleotide long non-coding RNA. RefSeq lists it as uncharacterized. NCBI's taxonomy places the organism in Eukaryota, Metazoa, Chordata, Mammalia, Artiodactyla, Balaenopteridae. The record is from RefSeq and is a predicted model, not a curated record. The transcript has 4 exons.